This 323-nucleotide ribosomal RNA is filed under the name uncultured eukaryote. Its description in RNAcentral is "partial 18S ribosomal RNA". It matches the Rfam family "Eukaryotic small subunit ribosomal RNA", at positions 1470 to 1796 of the family's 1831-position model. The record is from RNAcentral.
CCCUUAGAUGUUCUGGGCUGCACGCGCGCGACAAUGACGUUUGCAACGAGAUUGCGAGGCCGUCAGGUCGAGCUGAUCUUGCAAGCUGCGUCGUGAUAGGGACAGUCGAUUGCAAUUAUUCGACUCGAACGAGGAAUUCCUUGUAAUCGCGCAUCAUCAGUGCGCGCUGAAUACGUCCCUGCCCUUUGUACACACCGCCCGUCGCUCCUACCGAUUGGAUGGUCCGGUGAAGCCUCGGGAUUGUGGUUCUUGCCGCUUUAUUGUGGCGUGACCGCGAGAACUUGUCUAAACCUUAUCAUCUAGAGGAAGGUGAAGUCGUAACA